Molecule: unclassified non-coding RNA, 465 nt
Filed under: Melitaea cinxia (Glanville fritillary)
Lineage: Eukaryota; Metazoa; Arthropoda; Insecta; Lepidoptera; Nymphalidae
Description: misc RNA ENSMCXG00005017294.1
Source: RNAcentral
UGUAAUUAUUAUAUUUAAGAAAAAAAAUAAGGCGAUACGAAGUUUGCCAGGUCAGCUAGUAAUUACUAUAAUAGAAAUUUUCGAUACAAAACUCUUAAUAUUACCACAAAUUUAAUCAAAUUGUUAUAACGUGUUUAAAUAAUUACUUUAUUCUGUUAUUACCAACUUUUCCCAAAAGGAAAGGAAGACAAUGAAAGCGUAUAUGUUGACGUACUUUUUCAAAAUCGCAUUACUUUGGCGUAGCUUAGCAUAUUUUUAAGUAAAAUUGGAAGGUAUAAUAGUAAGUUGAAAUGCAGGGUCUGUUUCAUCAUUUGUGGAUAAGGUUUAUCCUGCACAUAAGUUGCGGAUAGACUAACAGCAGGAGAUAGAAUAGGCCGUUAGUUACAAUUCACAAUAGAUAUAUCUUUAAUAGACUCUAACCCAUAAAUAAUUUGGAAUUCAAUGAUGGAAAAGGAAAAUAAUGGU